Molecule: ribosomal RNA, 453 nt
Filed under: uncultured Desulfobacterium sp.
Lineage: Bacteria; Pseudomonadati; Thermodesulfobacteriota; Desulfobacteria; Desulfobacterales; Desulfobacteriaceae
Description: bacterial SSU rRNA
Rfam family: Bacterial small subunit ribosomal RNA
Source: RNAcentral
CGGUGGAGCAUGUGGUUUAAUUCGACGCAACGCGAGAACCUUACCUGGGUUUGACAUCUCGGGAAUCUUGUGGAAACACGAGAGUGCCCUUCGGGGAGCCCGAAGACAGGUGCUGCAUGGCUGUCGUCAGCUCGUGUCGUGAGGUGUUGGGUUAAGUCCCGCAACGAGCGCAACCCCUAUCUCUAGUUGCCAGCGAUUCGGUCGGGGACUCUAGAGAUACUGCCCCGGUUAACGGGGAGGAAGGUGGGGAUGACGUCAAGUCCUCAUGGCCCUUAUGUUCUGGGCUACACACGUGCUACAAUGGCCGGUACAGACGGAGGCGAAGCCGCGAGGCGGAGCAAAUCCGAAAAAGCCGGUCUCAGUUCGGAUUGCAGGCUGCAAUUCGCCUGCAUGAAGUCGGAAUCGCUAGUAAUCGCAGGUCAGCAUACUGCGGUGAAUACGUUCCCGGGCCUU